GACGUAGGGGGCCAGCGUUGUUCGGAAUUACUGGGUGUAAAGGGUUCGUAGGCGGUGCGGCAAGUCGGGAGUGAAAUCUCUGGGCUUAACCCAGAGGCUGCUUCCGAAACUGCUGUGCUUGAGUGUGGGAGAGGCGCGUGGAAUUGCAGGUGUAGCGGUGAAAUGCGUAGAUAUCUGCAGGAACACCCGUGGCGAAAGCGGCGCGCUGGACCACUACUGACGCUGAGGAGCGAAAGCGUGGGGAGCGAACAGG
This 253-nucleotide ribosomal RNA is filed under the name uncultured bacterium. Its description in RNAcentral is "partial 16S ribosomal RNA". It matches the Rfam family "Bacterial small subunit ribosomal RNA", at positions 524 to 776 of the family's 1533-position model. The record is from RNAcentral.